GCCAUCCAGGUUAACGCUGGGGACUCUAAAGGAACUGGCCUACGCAAGGUAGUGAGGAAGGCGGGGAUGACGUCAAAGUCAGCACGGCCCUUACGUCCAGGGCCUACACACGUGGCUACAAUGGCCGAUACAGAGGGCAGCUACCUGGUGACCAGGAGUGCAAAAUCCUACCAAAGUCGGUCUCAGUUCGGAUCGGAGUCUGCCAACCCGACUCCGUGAAGUUGGAUUCGCUAGUAAUCGCGCAUCAGCCAUGGCGCGGUGAAUACGUUCCCGGGCCUU
RNAcentral lists this ribosomal RNA (279 nucleotides) under uncultured Sphingobacteriales bacterium. RNAcentral's name for it is "partial 16S ribosomal RNA". It matches the Rfam family "Bacterial small subunit ribosomal RNA", at positions 1117 to 1382 of the family's 1533-position model. Lineage: Bacteria; Pseudomonadati; Bacteroidota; Sphingobacteriia; Sphingobacteriales. The record is from RNAcentral.